UACGUAGGGGGCAAGCGUUGUCCGGAAUCAUUGGGCGUAAAGCGCGUGUAGGCGGUUCAGUAAGUCUGCUGUGAAAGUCCAGGGCUCAACCCUGGGAUGCCGGUGGAUACUGCUGGGCUAGAGUACGGAAGAGGCGAGUGGAAUUCCCGGUGUAGCGGUGAAAUGCGCAGAUAUCGGGAGGAACACCUAUUGCGAAGGCAGCUCGCUGGGACGUUACUGACGCUGAAGCACGAAAGCGUGGGGAGCGAACGGG
RNAcentral lists this ribosomal RNA (253 nucleotides) under uncultured bacterium. Its description in RNAcentral is "partial 16S ribosomal RNA". It matches the Rfam family "Bacterial small subunit ribosomal RNA", at positions 524 to 776 of the family's 1533-position model. The record is from RNAcentral.